Seriola aureovittata is the source of this 796-nucleotide long non-coding RNA. RefSeq lists it as uncharacterized. The transcript is spliced from 3 exons. Lineage: Eukaryota; Metazoa; Chordata; Actinopteri; Carangiformes; Carangidae. The record is from RefSeq and is a predicted model, not a curated record.
CUCAGUCAUAUCAAAGACAGUCAUAGCUACAGCAGCGUGAUUGAAAAUUCACAGACUGUCUUUCUGUUUGGUUGCAGGUGUCCACACUGAAAACUGAAUGACCACUGGCAACAGAAGGAGGAGCUCAUGUGUCCACACUGAAAACUGAAUGACCACUGGCAACAGAAGGAGGAGCUCAUGUAUGGACAAAGGAGACUGCAUGUACUUCCUUAGUUCUGAAAUGGGCUGUGGUGGUGUUGGUGGUGAUGAUGAUGAUGAUGAUGAUGAUGCCAAGAAAACCAAUUCCAGUUCAUCUUCCUCUUGUGAGAGGACAAACCAGCCGUUUAGACAUUUAUUUUGUGUGUUAUUCUCUGUCCUCAGUGUUCACAGGUUCAGUUUCUUGCCUCUUACUUCAUUUCUACUGUUGUUGAUAGAUGAUAGUAAUACAAAUUUUAAGAACAGAAGCUAUAAUUAUUAAUUUGGAAUUAAGUGGUGGAUCAACUCUAGCACACUCACCACCUUGACAGGUGAAAGUAUUUACCAGUUUAACAUCAAAACGUUGUUGAGUAUCUAACAGCUAGAACUGACUGACCAGAAGUGCAACCUGGAGCAAAACCAGACUCUUCAUAGAUGUGAUGCUGUUUCCUCAUAGGUGUAUGUAUUAGCUUUACACACUGUUUAGUGUUAACUGAAAAUUGACAGUUAAGAUUUUGAAGCGGUUGUCAGUGUUGUACAGCUCAUGUACAUUAGUUUUAUUCAUAACUUAUUAUUGUCAUUGAUCAGGUUUUCAAUAAAUAAACCUACUGUGAUUAACUUG